Molecule: ribosomal RNA, 253 nt
Filed under: uncultured bacterium
Lineage: Bacteria
Description: partial 16S ribosomal RNA
Rfam family: Bacterial small subunit ribosomal RNA
Source: RNAcentral
UACGUAGGGGGCAAGCGUUGUCCGGAAUUAUUGGGCGUAAAGAGCGUGUAGGCGGCCAGAUAAAUCCGCUGUGAAAUCUCGAGGCUCAACUUCGAGCUGUCGGUGGAAACUAUCUGGCUAGAGUCCGGAAGAGGAGAAUGGAAUUCCUGGUGUAGCGGUGAAAUGCGCAGAUAUCAGGAGGAACACCGAUGGCGAAGGCAGGUCUCUGGGCCGAUACUGACGCUGAGGAGCGAAAGCGUGGGGAGCGAACAGG